RNAcentral lists this microRNA (23 nucleotides) under Eptesicus fuscus (big brown bat). Its description in RNAcentral is "efu-miR-9276". Lineage: Eukaryota; Metazoa; Chordata; Mammalia; Chiroptera; Vespertilionidae. The record is from miRBase by way of RNAcentral.
AUGGAGCAAUAGCUUCCCCAAGA